UGGAUUGUGUCUAUAUGGCAUAUACACUAAACGAUGCAUUUUCAAAAUCUGUUAAGAUUGUUGAUGGCCAAGUGGUCUACCUAGUUUAACUACUGUAUCACUAGCCUGUCAACACUGAGGUUUGGGGCAGGUGCACUCGACUCCAAUCCUAAUUGACUAAGAUUGUCAGUUUUCUGAUGGAUGGUUGGUGGUUCUCUGAUGGCACUCUGUCUUCCUCCACCAAUAAAAACUGACAGCCACGAAAUAGCACAAUGGUGUUGAAUAAAGGCAGUAGUUGUUUACCAAUGUUCAAUAUUAAUAAAUCGAUGAAGCAAAAACAAAUAUGGGUCAUAAACUAAAACUGAGGGAAAGACGUGUACGCCAACUAUAAAAGCAAAACAUUGAUGGAACAGCAAAAUCACUGAGCCUGCAACAAAAAUUGGAGUUAAACACCAAUAAAUCAAAAUAUUUUACAUUCUAUUUUGUUUUGUCAAACGUCUGUUAGUUGAUGGCCACCAGGAUAAAUGCACAUUUUACAUAAGGCUUCGGGUUCUUGGGAUUAAAACAAAACUUUGGUUAACCCGAAAUUCCUCCCGAGUCUGUAUAUGCCUAUUAAGGGCACAGUAGUACAUCGCUGUUCAAUAUCAUAAAUCGAUUCAGCUAAAACAAAUUGGGGUUUAAAACC
Molecule: long non-coding RNA, 664 nt
Filed under: Mytilus galloprovincialis (Mediterranean mussel)
Lineage: Eukaryota; Metazoa; Mollusca; Bivalvia; Mytilida; Mytilidae
Source: RNAcentral